AAAUUGAAGAGUUUGAUCAUGGCUCAGAUUGAACGCUGGCGGCAGGCCUAACACAUGCAAGUCGAACGGUAGCACAGAGAGCUUGCUCUCGGGUGACGAGUGGCGGACGGGUGAGUAAUGUCUGGGAAACUGCCUGAUGGAGGGGGAUAACUACUGGAAACGGUGGCUAAUACCGCAUAAUGUCGCAAGACCAAAGAGGGGGACCUUCGGGCCUCUUGCCAUCAGAUGUGCCCAGAUGGGAUUAGCUAGUUGGUGAGGUAACGGCUCACCAAGGCGACGAUCCCUAGCUGGUCUGAGAGGAUGACCAGCCACACUGGAACUGAGACACGGUCCAGACUCCUACGGGAGGCAGCAGUGGGGAAUAUUGCACAAUGGGCGCAAGCCUGAUGCAGCCAUGCCGCGUGUAUGAAGAAGGCCUUCGGGUUGUAAAGUACUUUCAGCGGGGAGGAAGGUGUUGUGGUU
Molecule: ribosomal RNA, 462 nt
Filed under: Salmonella enterica subsp. enterica serovar Uganda
Lineage: Bacteria; Pseudomonadati; Pseudomonadota; Gammaproteobacteria; Enterobacterales; Enterobacteriaceae
Description: bacterial SSU rRNA
Rfam family: Bacterial small subunit ribosomal RNA
Source: RNAcentral